AUCGAGGCUGAUGAAAUUGGUGUUUCAUCCAGUUGACUCUGUGAUGGGAAGCUCGAGAGGUCCUCAUCUAUUUAUUAUCUUCUUAUCCAAGCUAUUCAAGAUCCAUUACUUCACCUCAAUCGCACCAGAAUACCUUCUUGCUCUGUUGGCCAAAUCUCUCCGAUACAAACUUGGAAGUAGUGCUUGGGCAGUAGAGGAACACAAUGGAAGUGACAAUUUGCUGCCUAACAACAAGAAUUGUGCAAGACCCAAAGUUGGAGUGUGAAAAGUAAGAAUAUUGCUACACAAGGACUGAGGGUGGAGCUGGAGAUAUAGCAUGCAGACAUGGAGAUCCUAUAGGAAACAAUAAGGAAAAGUCACGGUGUAUGUAUUGUAAGAAGGUGCUAAAUUCUAGAGGAGCCACUAAACUGAAGUGGCAUUUGGCUAGUGGGUACAGGGAUGUGGCCAAAUGCACCCAAGUUCCUUAUGAGGUGCAGUAGGCCAUGGCUAAACACUUGACAGGGAGGAAGAACUAUAGUUGUCAAGGCGACAAGGAGAUCCAAGCUAGUGGAGGGGUGACUAAGCGCUUAGCAACAAGGCGCCAACACCUAGAUUUUUUAUAUCCCUUUUAUUUUUUAACAUUAUUUAAAGCCACAUCAAGUCAUCAAAAAUCAAUAGAACUAGAAGAAUUACUAAAGAAGCAAGCUAUUGAAAGUUUGAAAUAAUCAAAACAUACAUUUGGCUUAUACUAUUCUUGGAAACUAUCACUGUCCUAGUGUACCUAAUAUCCAUUUGGUUCAUAUUGUUCUUGAAAAACUUGAUCAUAUCUAUAAGCAAUUAAAUUGCUCAAUUUAGGGAAAUAUUCUUGUUCUCUAAUAAAUUUGACUGGUCAAAUGAUUUUAUUUUUACAUGAGACUUUUUGUAUUAGAUAGAGCAAAAAUCCAGCUCUCCAAAUCCAAGAUUGCUUAAAUCUGAUUUACAUUGAAGGAAUUAUGUAUUGGUCAAACCUUAUUUGGUGCGCAUGAAUGUUGUUUAAAAUUGUCUUAAAUGGAAAUUAAUUUUUAGACAUCAAAACAAAAGGUUGUUUUGUCGCUCUUUUGGUCUUAGUGAUGUUCUAUCACAAUAACAUUUAUGAAAUUUUUAGAUUUGACAAAAACCUUAGCAAUUGAAAGUUAGAAAUUGCCCCUAAAACUGAAAAAUCGGUUUUUGUUCUUGAACAAGGGAGUUGACUUUUUAUCCUUUUAGAAUUUGAAAUUUUAAUUAUUUUUAUUAGAUUUAUUUGGGUGGAGUCUCGCAUUUAUAAACUACUUAAAUUCAGUUUGGCAUAAAUCAGUGCCAAACCUGAUUCGAUACCAAUAGAAACGUAAUAAAUGGAAUAAAAAAUUAAACCAACGCCAGAUUUUCUUAGACCUCAAAAAAACAGCUUGGACACCAAGGUAACACAUAGACAACGGAAGGACUGAAGAAUGUGAAAAUGCAAUAGGCAAUAGAUGAGUAUGAUGAGGCAGUGAGAGAGAGAAACACCCACCAACAGCAAGGGCUGCCUUUGAUGAUUCGAUAGGGAUUACAAGCCUGAGGAUUUCAAGAUAGAAGCAAAGUGGAGACAGUUUUAGCAGGCUAGGGCAGACAGCCGAGUCUCACAUUAGAUGGAGAGAGUUAGGGCCGCAAGGGAAAGGAGUUGGUGUCCCUAGCUCUAGACCAGCUGCACCAGAGGCAAGGCCAACAGAGGAGGAGGAAGAAGCAAAGGCAAAGGGAUUUGCCUCUUAAGAGAUCACAGAGUGUGAGGGCACCCCCACCACCAGUACCAGAUAUGAUCCCAUUAAAGUACUUCAGCAAGAUCCUCUGAUACAUAGGGCCCAGAUACUACUACAGAGAACUAUAAAGCAAGCCUGGAGUAAUGUCCAUGGAUUUGCCAUUAAAGUCAAGGAAGCAUUGAUUUUU
This is a long non-coding RNA of Macadamia integrifolia, 1920 nucleotides long. RefSeq lists it as uncharacterized. NCBI's taxonomy places the organism in Eukaryota, Viridiplantae, Streptophyta, Magnoliopsida, Proteales, Proteaceae. The transcript is spliced from 3 exons. The record is from RefSeq and is a predicted model, not a curated record.